AAUCAACGCUGGCGGCGUGCCUCAGACAUGCAAGUCGAACGCUGCUGUUCGCCUUCGGGUGGACAGCGGAGUGGCGCACGGGUGAGUAACACGUAGGUAAUCUACCUUUGGGGUGGGAAGUAACAGCCGGAACGGACUGCUAAUACCGCAUAAUGCAGCGGCAUCACAUGAUGACAGUUGUUAAAGCGAGGGAUCGUAAGACCUCGCGCCUGAAGAGGAGCCUGCGGCAGAUUAGGUAGUUGGUGAGGUAAUGGCUCACCAAGCUGCGAUCUGUAACCGGCCUGAGGAGGGCGGUCGGUCACACUGACACUGACAUACGGGUC
This 323-nucleotide ribosomal RNA is filed under the name uncultured bacterium. Its description in RNAcentral is "bacterial SSU rRNA". It matches the Rfam family "Bacterial small subunit ribosomal RNA", at positions 32 to 332 of the family's 1533-position model. The record is from RNAcentral.